This is a non-coding RNA of Solanum tuberosum (potato), 288 nucleotides long. The record is from Rfam. Lineage: Eukaryota; Viridiplantae; Streptophyta; Magnoliopsida; Solanales; Solanaceae.
UUUGUCAGUUGUUACAUGAUUUUUAAUCAUCCUAGUCAGAAACUAAGAAAAGUAAUUUAUAAGUGAAUGCAUUUGGGUGGGGAACAGCAACUAAUUGCUAAAGAAAAGGAGGAAUCCACCCGAGGGGCUCGCGUGUGGUUAGCUAGUUAGUGUGACAAUCACUUUGCAGAGGGAUGAUCAGUAGCUGGUCUUAGAGGAUGAUCAACUGCACUAGGACUGAAACAUGGCCCAGAUUCCUGUGAGGGGCAGCAGUGAGGAACUUUCCGGAAUGGGCGUAAGCCUGAUGGA